This 73-nucleotide transfer RNA is filed under the name Marsupiomonas sp. NIES 1824. RNAcentral's name for it is "tRNA-Ile". It matches the Rfam family "tRNA". Rfam says of the family: Transfer RNA (tRNA) molecules are approximately 80 nucleotides in length. Their secondary structure includes four short double-helical elements and three loops (D, anti-codon, and T loops). The record is from RNAcentral. Lineage: Eukaryota; Viridiplantae; Chlorophyta; Pedinophyceae; Marsupiomonadales; Marsupiomonadaceae.
GAGCAAAUAGCUCAGUGGCGAGAGCGUUCGGCUGAUAACCGAGAGGGCGGGAGUUCGACUCUCUCUUUGCUCA